RNAcentral lists this ribosomal RNA (301 nucleotides) under uncultured archaeon. RNAcentral's name for it is "bacterial SSU rRNA". It matches the Rfam family "Archaeal small subunit ribosomal RNA", at positions 325 to 626 of the family's 1478-position model. The record is from RNAcentral.
ACGGGGCGCAGCAGGCGCGAAAACUUUACAAUGCGGGAAACCGUGAUAAGGGAAUCUCGAGUGCCAGCAUAUAAUGUUGGCUGUCCAGAUGCCUAAAAAGCAUCUGUUAGCAAGGGCCGGGCAAGACCGGUGCCAGCCGCCGCGGUAACACCGGCGGCCCGAGUGGUAACCGCUAUUAUUGGGUCUAAAGGGUCUGUAGCCGGCCAGGUAAGUCCCUUGGGAAAUCUGGCAGCUCAACUGUCAGGCUGCUAGGGGAUACUGUUUGGCUUGGGACCGGGAGAGGUGAGAGGUACCUUGGGGG